Molecule: ribosomal RNA, 999 nt
Filed under: uncultured bacterium
Lineage: Bacteria
Description: bacterial SSU rRNA
Rfam family: Bacterial small subunit ribosomal RNA
Source: RNAcentral
UGGGGAAUAUUGCACAAUGGGGGAAACCCUGAUGCAGCGACGCCGCGUGGAGGAAGAAGGUCUUCGGAUUGUAAACUCCUGUUGUUGAGGAAGAUAAUGACGGUACUCAACAAGGAAGUGACGGCUAACUACGUGCCAGCAGCCGCGGUAAAACGUAGGUCACAAGCGUUGUCCGGAAUUACUGGGUGUAAAGGGAGCGUAGGCGGCAUGGUAAGCCAGAUGUGAAAGCCUUGGGCUUAACCCGAGGAUUGCAUUUGGAACUAUCAAGCUAGAGUACAGGAGAGGAAAGCGGAAUUCCUAGUGUAGCGGUGAAAUGCGUAGAUAUUAGGAAGAACACCAGUGGCGAAGGCGGCUUUCUGGACUGAAACUGACGCUGAGGCUCGAAAGCGUGGGGAGCAAACAGGAUUAGAUACCCUGGUAGUCCACGCCGUAAACGAUGAGUGCUAGGUGUCGGGGAGGAAUCCUCGGUGCCGCAGCUAACGCAAUAAGCACUCCACCUGGGGAGUACGACCGCAAGGUUGAAACUCAAAGGAAUUGACGGGGGCCCGCACAAGCGGUGGAGCAUGUGGUUUAAUUCGAAGCAACGCGAAGAACCUUACCAAGGCUUGACAUCCCGAUGACCGUCCUAGAGAUAGGACUUCUCUUCGGAGCAUCGGUGACAGGUGGUGCAUGGUUGUCGUCAGCUCGUGUCGUGAGAUGUUGGGUUAAGUCCCGCAACGAGCGCAACCCUUAUCUUCAGUAGCCAUCAUUCAGUUGGGCACUCUGGAGAGACUGCCGUGGAUAACACGGAGGAAGGUGGGGAUGACGUCAAAUCAUCAUGCCCCUUAUAUCUUGGGCUACACACGUGCUACAAUGGCUGGUAACAAAGUGACGCAAGACGGCGACGUUAAGCAAAUCACAAAAACCCAGUCCCAGUUCGGAUUGUAGUCUGCAACUCGACUACAUGAAGCUGGAAUCGCUAGUAAUCGCGAAUCAGCAUGUCGCGGUGAAUACGUUCCC